This is a long non-coding RNA of Galeopterus variegatus (Sunda flying lemur), 344 nucleotides long. RefSeq lists it as uncharacterized. Lineage: Eukaryota; Metazoa; Chordata; Mammalia; Dermoptera; Cynocephalidae. The transcript is spliced from 2 exons. The record is from RefSeq and is a predicted model, not a curated record.
ACUACAUCAGCAAUGAAGAUAUUUUGGUUUUUUCUGACCUUUGUCUUCGCUGUGUCUUGUGGUCCAGCAGUUCCACAGCAAAAAACAAGAGAAGUUGCAGAGAAAAAAAGAGAAUGUCGCCUUGUUCGUGGUGCUUGCAAGCUUGAAUGCAAUUCCUGGGAAUACAUAUAUAAUUACUGCAAUAUUGACUCUGAACCUUGCUGUGUGGUAAGGGAAUACCAAAAGCCAGUCAUAAAAAACUCAAUUAUCGGACCUAAAACAGAUGUAAAUUACAAUUAUGUUACAUAGCACUACUUUGUAGCAAUAUUAUUAAUAAAAAUUAACUUUUACUUUCUAUCAAUCUA